This 215-nucleotide long non-coding RNA is filed under the name Pan troglodytes (chimpanzee). Its description in RNAcentral is "long non-coding RNA NONPTRT006234". Lineage: Eukaryota; Metazoa; Chordata; Mammalia; Primates; Hominidae. The record is from RNAcentral.
GAGAGGAUGAGAACAUGGCAGCAGGAGGAAACUAUUUCUGAGAAUGGAAUAAAUGGGAGUGGAGGGGGUAUAAGAGGUCCAUCAUCCAUAGCCUCAAUGAUGAACAAGACAUCCGAAAAAUAGGAGGAUUAUUCAAGACUCGCCCCUCACUUCCUCCUCCCUUGUGAUCGGCAACCUCCCACUUACAGGUAUACCUUUCCUCACAGGCUUCUACU